Long non-coding RNA from Oxyura jamaicensis (ruddy duck), 738 nucleotides. RefSeq lists it as uncharacterized. The record is from RefSeq and is a predicted model, not a curated record. The transcript has 3 exons. Lineage: Eukaryota; Metazoa; Chordata; Aves; Anseriformes; Anatidae.
CCCCCAUGAACCCUUUCAGCACCCAAUGCUCAUCCCCAGCCUGGCUUUGAGAUGUUGCAGAGGAAGGAGGUGAUGAGCCGAGGAACAGAGACUGUCUUCAGUGCCCUUCAGCUGAGUUAAACAUUCCUGAUGUGCAGGAGCGAGGAUCCGUGCCUGCCUUUCAUCCUUGCCCUCUCCAGGAAUUGCAAGCUACAGGCACCGGUAGGAGCAAGCAGAGAAUUACAGAGGUGUGCUGUAGAUUCUCCAUUGCUUGAAGACUUUAACCCCGGGAGUUUUUUUGCGAAGAUCUGCUACGGCUCACAGAGGAGUUACAAGCUCCGUGUAGAAAGAAAUAUUCUGGAGGAAGACUCGCAGUGGAGGUGAAAUGGCAGAUCAACACUGCGGCAGCAAGCCGAGGCUGCAGGGAAUGGCCCAGGGGGGAAAUCAAAGGGAAGAUGACUUUGUUACCAACCCAGCUGCAACUUCCUGCUCUGGCUAGAAAAUACCCUAGGAGGUGACUUGUUAGAGGACUGCAUGCCUCUGCCUUGCCUUGCUUCCCCAUAAUAAAUGAAUAAUGAACUUGUAGGGCAAACACUGAAGGGCAAGGGAAAGGUGGAAUUCCCAGAAAUUAUCAUCAAUAAGUAAGCACAAAGACACUCUCUGUCUUCCACCUCUCAGAUUCCUAUAAAUGGAGCUUUUCUAUGAGGGAGAGGGCUUUCCUCCAUCACGCACAAGCUAUAAACCAACAACUCUGACCAA